GCACAGGCUUGGAUUUAUGGCAGGCCCGUCGCCCUGGGUCUCUCAUAGUGCCCUGUGCCAGAGCACCCUGGCCUGGAACCAUUGCCCAGCCUCUGCCCGUGGGCUGCAGGCACUGAAGCGGGCUGCACAGUG
Phyllostomus discolor (pale spear-nosed bat) is the source of this 132-nucleotide small nucleolar RNA. RefSeq annotates it as small nucleolar RNA SNORA42/SNORA80 family. The record is from RefSeq and is a predicted model, not a curated record. Lineage: Eukaryota; Metazoa; Chordata; Mammalia; Chiroptera; Phyllostomidae. The transcript has a single exon.